Long non-coding RNA from Rosa rugosa (rugosa rose), 427 nucleotides. RefSeq lists it as uncharacterized. The record is from RefSeq and is a predicted model, not a curated record. The transcript is spliced from 4 exons. Lineage: Eukaryota; Viridiplantae; Streptophyta; Magnoliopsida; Rosales; Rosaceae.
AGUAGCUUGGGAACAUGAACAGUUUCACGGCUAAGAGUUACUGCUGCCACCCUUUCCGAACUCUCUGUUGUUCCUGAACUGUUAGAAAGCACUGGAAGUCUGCUUGAUGGCAGGCAAUUUGUUAAUGAAACUGCAAUCAUUAAAAGUGUCAAGUUAGUUGCUGAGAGCCUUGCGAGGCAUAUCUAUGGUCACAAAGGAAAGAACAUUCAAAUCUUUGCAGAAAACAGCAGUUUGGCAGUUAAUCCUUCAUUCAUAAAAUCUUGGUUGGAUCUAUUGUCGCAAACACCUCGAGUGGCGCCAUUUUUAUCAAAGAAUGAUCCAUUUAUCUUGGCAUUGAAAAAGGAAUUGGAAGAUCAUACUGAUGAGGUGAAUGUGCAGCAUGAGGUUCUUGAUGGAGUGUUUACUUUCUAUGAUUCAACCAGGAAUU